UUCUAUUUGCGAAGAGGGUCUUUGCAGUCUUGUGAGUUGAACAACCUGCAGAUGACAGAACUCAGGCAAUUCAAAUAACAUCACACAAAGGUAACCCUUGAAUAUAAAUUUCUAUGUUAUACUUCUUCGGCUUUUGCAAAAGAGUCAUUUCAGUUGUUCACCGCCUUGAAUCAAUUCCUGUCUAACAUUGAGCUGUGACACAUGUAUUGGUUCAUUUUUUUACUUAGUUGUGGAGACCAAGAAAUUACAACACAAGAUCUCAUUCAUGCUGUGAAGAAAAGGCUCAGCGGACGGAGCAGUCAGCUGUUUCCUUAUUCUCAACUCCUAAGAAAAAUACAACAAAAUAAAAUGUAAAGGUUCCAGCGGCAUAUCUUUAUUUUCUUGCUUAGUUUUCCCAACAAAUAACAUAGCAUUUGAGCACUAGUAUCUCACCU
This 434-nucleotide long non-coding RNA is filed under the name Eucalyptus grandis. RNAcentral describes it as "long non-coding RNA (EGRA_LNC001118)". Lineage: Eukaryota; Viridiplantae; Streptophyta; Magnoliopsida; Myrtales; Myrtaceae. The record is from RNAcentral.